AACUAAAACAUUGCUAUUUAUUUAUUAGGACAAUUGUUUAUAUAUUUCUGAAAAAAUUUUGACUUUUUAAUUUACCUUUCUUAGAAGGUUAUUAUUGAAAAUAUUUUUUUAUAUUCCAACCUAUUUUAAAUUUGGUAAAAAAAUAAUAUUUGUAACCAUAAAAAAAAAUUUAUGAAAUAUGACUAUAUUUUACUGUCUAGAUUACUAAAUUUUAUAGACAGAACCAAACAUAGUAACACUAUAAACACUGCAAUCUAACAUUAUAUUACUGUAUUAAACCAAACAAACUAAUAUAGCAUCAGUAGUAAUCUCAUUUAGAAAUUUAAGAUACCUGGAUAUAUUGAAAUACUCUGUAAUAUUACAUAAUUCGAACCAAACGCGCUCUAAAGUUAAAUUCUGUUAGUAAUAAUUAUUAUCUGUAUAAAAUUACUAUUUUGUCCUUUCAAGUAUAUUCUUUUACCGUCACCGAUUUUUUUUAUUUGUCCAUAAGUCAGAGGCAAAAAAAAUAUUUUAAUUUUUAAUUUUUAAUUUUUUUUAAAUAUACCUUUUUGUAAUUACCAAUAUUUUUUAUUUGCCAUAAAGUUUAGAGCAAAAAAAAAUAUUUUAAUUUUUUUUAACUCUAGUGAAAAUUUAACUCAUGUUUAACUUGAACAAAUUUCGGACACGAUAUC
This 671-nucleotide long non-coding RNA is filed under the name Ananas comosus (pineapple). Its description in RNAcentral is "long non-coding RNA (ACOM_LNC011443)". The record is from RNAcentral. Lineage: Eukaryota; Viridiplantae; Streptophyta; Magnoliopsida; Poales; Bromeliaceae.